This is a long non-coding RNA of Gorilla gorilla gorilla (western lowland gorilla), 2538 nucleotides long. NCBI's taxonomy places the organism in Eukaryota, Metazoa, Chordata, Mammalia, Primates, Hominidae. The record is from Ensembl.
UCGCCAGCUUCUGGACCCUCAAACUACAACAAAAUUGCUCCUCCCUGGGUCGGCUUCUCCACAACCCUCAAACUUGAACAAGACGUCUCCUCCUCGGGUUGCCAGCUUCCAGACCCUCAAAUUACAACAAUAUUGCUCCUCCCUGGGUCUGCAGCUCCACGACCCUCAGACCAGAUCAAGACCUCUCCUCCCUGGGUCACCAGCUUCCAGACCCUCGAAUUACAACAAUAUUCCUCCUCCCUGGGACUGCAGCUCCACGACCCUCAGACUAGUACAAGACCUCUCCCUGGGUCACCAGCUUCCAGACCCUCGAUCGAACUACAACAAAAUUGCUCCUUGCUGGGUCAGCAGCUCCACGACCCUGAAACUAGAACAAGACUUCUCCUCCCUGGGUCGCCAGCUUCCUGACCCUCGAACUACAACAAAAUUGCUCCUCCCUGGGUCGGCAGCUCCACGACCCUCAAACUCCAACAAGACUUCUCCUCCCCAGGUUGCCAGCUGCCGGACCCUCGAAUUACAACAACAUUGCUCCUCCCUGGGUCUGCAGCUCCACGACCCUCAGACUAGUACAAGACCUCUCCCUGGGUCACCAAAUUCCAGACCCUUGAACUACAACAAAAUUGCUCCUCGCUGGGUCGGCUGCUCCACAACCCUCAGACUAGUACAAGACCUCUCCCUGGGUCACCAAAUUCCAGACCCUUGAACUACAACAAAAUUGCUCCUCGCUGGGUCAGCAGCUCCACGACCCUGAAACUAGAACAAGACUUCUUCUCCCCAUGUUGCCAGCUACUGGAACCUCGAAUUACAACAACAUUGCUCCUCCCUGGGUCUGCAGCUCCACGACCCUCAAACUAGAACAAGACCUCUCCUCCCUGGGUCGCCGGCUUCCUGACCCUCGAUCGAACUACAACAAAAUUGCUCCUCCCUGGGUCGGCAGCUCCACGACCCUCAAACUAGAACAAGACCUCUCCUCCCUGGAUCUCCAGCUUCCAAACCCUCCAUUUACAACAACAUUGCUCCUCCCUGGUUCGACAGCUCCACGACCCUCAAACUCGAACAAGACUUCUCCUCCGCAGGUUGCCAGCUACCAGACCCUCGAAUUACAACAAAAUUGCUCCUCCCUGGGUCUGCAGCUCCACGACCCUCAGACCAGAACAAGACCUCUCCUCCCUGGGUCACCAGCUUCCGGACCCUCCAAUUACAACCAAAUUGCUCCUCCCUGGGUCGGCAGCUCCACGACCCUCAAACUAAAACAAGACCUCUCCUCCCUGGGUCACCAGCUUCCUGACCCUCGAACUACAACAAAAUUGCUCCUCCCUGAUCAGCAGCUCCACCAGCCUCAAACUCGAACAAGACUUCUCCUCCGCAGGUUGCCAGCUACCAGACCCUCGAAUUACAACAAAAUUGCUCCUCCCUGGGUCUGCAGCUCCACGACCCUCAGACCAGAACAAGACCUCUCCUCCCUGGGUCACCAGCUUCCGGACCCUCCAAUUACAACCAAAUUGCUCCUCCCUGGUUCGGCAGCUCCACGACCCUCAAACUAGAACAAGACCUCUCCUCCCCGAGUUGCCAGCUACCGGACCCUUGAAUUACAACAAAAUUGCUCCUGCCUGGGUCUGCAGCUCCACGACCCUCAGACCAGAACAAGACCUCUCCUCCCUGGGUCUCCAGCUUCCAGACGCUUGAAUUACAGCAAAAUUGCUCCUCCUUGGGUCUGCAGCUCCACGACCCUCAAACUAAAACAAGACCUCUCCUCCCUGGGUCGCCAGCUUCCUGACCCUCGAACUACAACAAAAUUGCUCCUCCCUGAUCAGCAGCUCCACCAGCCUCAAACUCGAACAAGACUUCUCCUCCCCAGGUUGCCAGCUACCAGACCCUCGAAUUACAACAACAUUGCUCCUGCCUGGGUCUGCACCUCCAUGACCCUCAAACUAGAACAAGACCUCUCCUCCUUGGGUCUCCAGCUUUCUGACCCUCGAACUACAGCAAUAUUGCUCCUGCCUGGGUCUGUGCUCCACGACCCUCAAACUAGAACAGUAGCACCAGCUGCUUCCUGGACUUCCAGCUCAAUGACUCUCAGACUUCAAAGGCAGCAACGGCUCCACCCCCAGGCUCCAGCUCCAACACCCUCAGAUCUGAGCAGCGGCAGCACCAGCUCCUUUCUGGGUCUUCUUUUUCACGAUCCUUAAAUUAGAACAGCAGCACCAUCUUCUCCCUGGGUCUCCAGCUCCACGAAACUCAAGCUAGAAUAGCAGCACCGGCUCCUCUGGGAUCUUCAGCUCCACGACCCUAAGACAUCAGUGGCAGCACCGGCUCCUCCCCUGGGCUCCAGCUCCAGGACCCUCAAACUUGAACAGAAUCACCAGCUCCUCCCCAGGUCUCCAGCUCCUUGACCCUCAUAAACAAUCCCUUCUUAUGAAAUGUAGCAGUCAGGAAAACUGUAGAGGAAGUAAAUAAAUAAAUGUUUUCCUUUCAAAUUGAUGUUUGUUUUCUGUUCACGCAAGUCAGAAAAUUUUCUACUUUCCAUCAACCUUGCAA